UCCCUGGUGGCUCAGUGGUAGAGAAUCUGCCUGUGAAGCAAGAGACCCAGGUUUGAUCCCUGGGUUGGAAA
RNAcentral lists this transfer RNA (71 nucleotides) under Bos taurus (domestic cattle). It matches the Rfam family "tRNA". Rfam says of the family: Transfer RNA (tRNA) molecules are approximately 80 nucleotides in length. Their secondary structure includes four short double-helical elements and three loops (D, anti-codon, and T loops). Further hydrogen bonds mediate the characteristic L-shaped molecular structure. tRNAs have two regions of fundamental functional importance: the anti-codon, which is responsible for specific mRNA codon recognition, and the 3' end, to which the tRNAs corresponding amino acid is attached (by aminoacyl-tRNA synthetases). tRNAs cope with the degeneracy of the genetic code in two manners: having more than one tRNA (with a specific anti-codon) for a particular amino acid; and 'wobble' base-pairing, i.e. permitting non-standard base-pairing at the 3rd anti-codon position. RNAcentral also lists the same sequence under 5 other names. Lineage: Eukaryota; Metazoa; Chordata; Mammalia; Artiodactyla; Bovidae. The record is from Rfam by way of RNAcentral.